UACGUAGGUGGCAAGCGUUGUCCGGAUUUACUGGGCGUAAAGAGCGCGCAGGCGGUCGUUCAAGUCGCGUGUGAAAGCCCCCGGCUCAACUGGGGAGGGUCACGCGAUACUGAUCGACUCGAAGGCAGGAGAGGGUAGUGGAAUUCCCGGUGUAGUGGUGAAAUGCGCAGAUAUCGGGAAGACCCCCUAUGGCGAAGGCAGCUCUCUGGGACGGUACUGACGCUGAGACGCGAAAGCGUGGGGAGCAAACAGG
Molecule: ribosomal RNA, 253 nt
Filed under: uncultured bacterium
Lineage: Bacteria
Description: partial 16S ribosomal RNA
Rfam family: Bacterial small subunit ribosomal RNA
Source: RNAcentral